Molecule: long non-coding RNA, 2397 nt
Organism: Amphiprion ocellaris (clown anemonefish)
Lineage: Eukaryota; Metazoa; Chordata; Actinopteri; Pomacentridae
Exons: 9
Source: RefSeq, a predicted model, not a curated record
UUGUAUCAAGACAGGAAGAUAAAAAGGUCUAAGCAACUUUAAAAGACUGUUGGGGCACAGAUGGCAGGAGCUUCAGCUGCAAUUUUGUCUAAAUUGUUGACAUACUUGCCACACAUUAAAUUCUAGUAAUGGUAGAGGCCUCAAAAGUUGGUCAAAUGUUGACCAAAGACGGUGCAGCAACAAAUUUCCUGAGUCUGUCUGAAGCGAAUUGAGGAAGGUAAAGCUUGAGCAAACCAAAGACAAAUGAAACCAAUUAAAAUACACAAAGUGAAAUGAAAAAAACGUCACCAUUAGCCACAUGAUUUUUCUAGCAAAAGCACAUCAUCAGAUGAAUGGGAUGGACACAAUAAAAUGACUCAAAAAAUUCAAGUAGUGCUUUCAUUGAGAAGUGAUACGGAUUACACGGUUUUGCAUCGAUGAUUUUACUGUUCAGUGGAACUAUGAGAUGCAACAAUCUUUCUUUUAACAGUGUCUGAACCUUGUGAAACAAUAAUCCCUUCCAAAUUUCAAACCAAUUUCCUCCAUUUUUGCACAAAUUGUCUCAGCUGUCCAAACAUCAUAAUAACAAAGAAACAAAGGGUGAAAUAGGCUGCUGCUACACUACAUCUCAGUCCUAUCAAACUGGUGGUAGAAAAGUCGGACCAGAGCUAAGUGGGACCAGGAAGAGUUGUCCUGUUCUGCCUUUAUCUUCUUAAUGAACCUGUCACUCUUGUGUGGACACGCCGGCUGCUGAGACUGAACUCGAAGCUGCUCGGAUAAACUGAAGAGGCCUGUACGACUGGCUGCAUUGCAAAUAGACUUUAAAACCCGAAGAAGAUCGGGGGCGGGGUGCUCCAGUGGCAGAACGCUACACAGAAAAUAAAAUGGAAAACGCUCCAUGUGAUGUCUGCACUGUAAGAAACAGGAGCACCUUCAAAUCCUGUCUGGUCUGCUUAGUGUCAGACUCGUCUCGCUGCAGAUUCCUACGUGGUUUUAAGCAGCAGUUUGCAGCCUGUACAAAAAAUAAAGCUGACACGAUUGAGACCUGGAGAAUUUUUGACACAUUGAUCACAAGUCCAUCUCUCAUCUGUCCUCCAUAGACUUUAAAAGAAGAGACACAUUCUCCCUCAUUAUUCACAAAACAGAUGAGAGGAAUAUCACACAGCAAUUCCACAUUGGAGAUCUGCUUCAUGUCACAGCGUUUUUAGCAGCUUCCAUGUCUUCUCUGAUAGAUUUGGGACAUGUGCGUGAGGAAUCAGAGCACCAUCCUUCAAAAUAACAUAAAAAAUUAUGUGAUUAUGGAAUUGGCAGAUAGCUAAACACUAAUGCUUACAGACAAGUUUUCAGCAAUUAUCUAGUUUGAUUUGUCUCAAACUCAGCCCCGGAGGGUGUUUUGAGAGUGCAGCUGAAGUGAACUGAACUACAGGAGUCAGUGUGAGGUGAAGGAGCUGAUCAGAGCCUGACAACAGCAGUGACUAAAGAGCUCACCAACAAGGCCUCAGUUCUUGAUAAGCACCAGUGCGAUGGUUCACAAGUCGUCAAACACCAACAUGUUUCCUAGCUGUUAGGAAAAACAAAGGAUGCAAGUCUUCAGAAGCCCUCGCCUGGAUCAGUGGAGUUUCUACUGAAUGACCAAACACGGCGCCGUCUGAACCUGCUGACAAAACUCACUUUUAUAAUUCACCCAAAUAUCAGAAGAUGAUCACGUGAGACUGCGCCACAGUUUACCUGUGACUGUGAACUUCUCUGUCGUCAUGACGACCUCUUCUUCGUCUGCAGUGAACAGAAGUUUACCUCCGUCGCUGCUUCGCACCUCCAGCCUCUGACACUGAGCCUCCACAGCCUCAGACCUGGGAAAUUUUAGAUUUUCACCCUAAAAAAGAGCAUCUUGCCUGAGAAGCCAUGAAAUUUGAUCCCCGACCUUCCCGGGAUCUUUCUGCAUGGAGUUUGCAUGUUCUCCCUGUGCAUGCAUAGGUGUUCUCCAGCCCUGUGAUAGACUGGUGACCUGUUGUCAGUCAGCUGGGAUAGACUCCAGACCCCCUGCGACCCUAAUGAGGAUUAAGCAGCGUGUACAUAAUGGAUGGAUGCAUGGAUGUGUUUUCAGACCUGCCAUGAAAUCUGGUUUCCCAGAGACUAUGGGUUGAGGAGGAAUUGGAAGUUUGUCGGCUUAGACCUGGUGUCAUUCCAUCAGUGUUAAACUUCCAGGCUCAUCUUGGAAGAGUACGUGCCAGAAAGACCACGAUCAAGCAGCCUUGAGAUCUUAGACAGCGUCUCCCUCAGGUCCCUCUCUAUCUCCCCACACAUCCACCAACCACUGGAACACAUCUCCAAAGUUCUGCUGGGCCAGCUCAGCUUCCCCUCAGAAGAAGUGCCGCCACCUGCCAGAUGAAGGAGCCUUUUGAGAGGCAGCUGGCAUCG